AACGGUCUAUACCUGCGGUACCUGCGGAGGGAUCAUUACCGAGUGAGGGCCCUCUGGGUCCAACCUCCCACCCGUGUUUAACUGUACCUUGUUGCUUCGGCGGGCCCGCCUCACGGCCGCCGGGGGGCUCUCCUGCCCCCGGGCCCGCGCCCGCCGAAGACACCUGUGAACGCUGUCUGAAGUAUGCAGUCUGAGAAAACUAGCUAAAUUAGUUAAAACUUUCAACAACGGAUCUCUAGA
RNAcentral lists this unclassified non-coding RNA (240 nucleotides) under soil metagenome. Its description in RNAcentral is "partial contains 5.8S ribosomal RNA, internal transcribed spacer 2, and large subunit ribosomal RNA". The record is from RNAcentral.